Molecule: long non-coding RNA, 3673 nt
Filed under: Oreochromis niloticus (Nile tilapia)
Lineage: Eukaryota; Metazoa; Chordata; Actinopteri; Cichliformes; Cichlidae
Description: lncRNA (ENSONIG00000026342.2)
Source: RNAcentral
CAAAAAAAGCAAACAUAAAGAUGAGUUCAUCUUCAGUACCAUAUUGACAUACACUGAUAAUCAAUAGUAUCUAACUAUGGACACGUGGAAGCCUUUAAACACAGACAUUUUGACAUGAUUUUAUCACAAAGCUUGUUACCUGCCUUGAUGACCUCUUUUCUCUUUUUUAAUCAGAUAAUACCAAAACAACACAAUGGGUAUGUUAAAGCACAUCUGUGUGAAUAGAUUUAUUUUUAUCAAUUAACUGCAUCUUUAAAGACUAAAUCAGUAAAAAAUGCUAAAAGUGUUCUCUUCAAUUUAACCAGUGCCAACAUAGUUGUUUUGGUUUUGUCAGCGUGGAUGCUUGCCAGACCGGUAUCCUUAAUAUCCUUAAUCCUGUUAGGUCCCCGCCAGAUUGGUCAACAAACUGUUUGGACCGCCUUAUCACAGUGGGCUUGGACAGAUUCACACCUCAUUAUGAUCUUGUCAGGGUAUUUUCAGGAUGCCACAUGGAGAUUACUGUGAGUUGAUCAAAGCACCAAUACAGCGCACUUUUUUUUUCAGAGGAAAUCCAACUGCCAACGUGAAAACAGACCCACCCAUUUUAACACACACAUAAAGUGUCCAGUUAACAAAAGUCUAUAUACAUAGUUGGGCAAAAGGAGGAAGUCCAUCUCAGACAGACCCGCCGUAUCCUUAAGAAGGAAGUCAAAUAACAAGCCUGCAGGUCUUAACUGGGAAAAAGAUGGGAAACGAGCAGUCAGUAAACAUAGAAGAGCUAUCCAAGAAUGGGACAAUUCCUGAAAAGCAUGAGAAUGGAACCGUGAAUGGCAUCUCUAUAGAAGUCACGUCUGGCGGACUGGAGAUUAAUGGUAAAAGUGAAACUACAGUCUGCCAAAAUGGCAAGGCCCACUCUUUAAACUCUGCCAUACAAUCAACUGAUGUGAUCGGCAAAUCAGAGUGUCAACCUGAUAUUGUCCAAGAUGUUUCUGAAGCCCCUGACGCCAAAAUCCAAGCUGUUUCUGAAGCCCCUGACGCCAAAAUCCAAGCUGUUUCUGAAGUUCCUGACACCAACACCCAGAAGGAAGAGGUCAAGAAAAGCAAAGGAGAAAAAGGUCGUCAUCAUUUUGGCAAACUGUUCAAAAAGAAAUCAGAACCUAAAGCUGAAGCUGAGACUGUUGAAGAAAAAGAAAAAGAGACACAGAGGGAAGAUCAAACGGAUGUAAGUGUUCCUCCCACUGAGCCACAGCAGGAGACGGCUAACCUAAACCAAGAGCCUGAAUCAUUAAAGGAGCCAGAGAGGGUGACUCCAGUCUCCAGUCCCAAGGAAGAAAACGUUCCUGAAACUGACAACGGAGACAGUGAGGCCGUGGAAAGCAAAGAGGAGAGUAACCCCGAAGAGAAUCCAGUUAUGAACUUCUUCAAAACCCUAGUGACCCCUACUAAAACGUCCAAAAAGGAAACGGCUAUUCCCGAUGCCGCAAAAGUUAAGUCCCAGAAGGAGACCCAACCAGCGGCAACCACUACUGUUGCACAAAUAUCUGAACCGCCUGCAGCACCGAAAGGAAUGUCCGUCCCACCACCCCCACCUCCAGAGCCACCGAAAAUGGAAAUCAAAGGAGAGCCAACUGCCAAACCUGUAAAGGCCUCGGCGAAAGAAGAACCUAAAGCUGCUGAAAAGGAGCCUGUGUCCUCGAAAGGAAAAUCAGCCAAAGAUACUCUGAGCAAAUUAUUCCGCCAGAAGAAGGUGGAUUCCUCAAAAGCUGACACCCGGGAGGCUGCUGCAAAACCAGAGCCACCACCACCUGCUCAGGAAGAGAAGAAAAGCGCCUCAAAAUCACCAUUCCUUUCUUUCUUCAAGCCCCAAGUACUAUUAGAUCACAUGACCACAAAAGUCCAGGCAGCCUCCACAAGUGGAAUUCGGUUCCUCAGGAAAACUACUGGACUGGCUGCUGAGCCCAAGAAGGUGACCCCGACCCCACCUGCAGCAGCGGAGGCAGCUCAAGCAGUUAAAGCCAAGGAGGAACCUAAAGUGGCAGCCAAGUCUUCAGAGCAAGCUGCAGAUAACAAACCAGCCUCUGUGCCUUCCCAAGCUGGCGAUGAUGCAGCCAGUGUGCCCAAAAAACUGGAAAAGAGGAACUCCAUUCAGCUAUUCUUUAAAAAUCUGACUCAGAAACGUCCUUCUACAGACGCCGGAGUCCAGACAGAGCCACUGACCGCUGCUCAAGGAGCUGAGAAAGCCAAAUGAGACCAGAAGCAACCCUUACGUUUUCCUGUACAGUCUCCUUCCCUCCUUCUCACUUGUACUCAGUCCUUCUUUUUCUCUCUUAUCGCCUUCUUGAAUCCCCUGAGUUACUUUGACUACUUUGUUUUUUAAUUGUUACUGCUUAAAAGUCACGAUAUCAAAGGUAAGGUUUUGGAAGAGUAAAGGAAAGUGGACAGAACAGUUAGCAGGGAGUUGAACUUGUGGAGAUUUAAAAUGGUCAAAGGUUGUUUGGACAUAUUUUUUUGUCACAUAAAUGUCUUGUCAGCAAUGUGACAUUUUCUACAGACAUUUAAAAUGACUUUUCUCUGUUUUGCAAUCUAACAUACUGGGCUUAUGCAAUAUAUAGUGCCAUGCUUUGCCUUGAACAACUAUUUUGUGUUAAAUCAAUAAAACUCAAUGUCAUAUAGGUUCUAUUUUUACACUUCACACCAGAGAAUUCACACAGUUCAGGUAAUGCAGUGGUUAACAUGAAGUACGUAGAUAUGAGUCAUAGAAAUGCUCUUAAUGGAGCUGGUCUAAGGAGUAUUAAAGUUUAUAUAGCAGAGUGUGCUUACAGAUUUUUGAACUCUAUGCAAGUUAUAUGUGGACUAAAACAAAAAGCUAUCUUUUAGCUUUAAUGGGACAUCACAAUCUCUACUGAUCUUUGGGGAACUGAUUGUAAAUACUCAACAAAUGCUUAAAAAUGCAUCCGAGGUAUUGAAAUGGUGUCUUUGUGCAAAUGUCUCCUUGUGAUAAGCUCUGCAUUACUCAUAAAUCACAACCGAGAAGCUUUUAUUUUGAUUUUAGCACUUUGUCUCGUGUCAACUAACAAGUCUUCCGGUGUAAGUAAACUGUGUCAGGCGUAUGUGCAAUUAAUGUGACGCUUUAGUUUGUCGUUAUGUAGUGUGCAUGUGAAACUUGAGCUAUUCUGAAGACAAUAAAUGCAAAUAAAUAUACCACAUGUCUGUUUUGUUUCAGAGUUUUCAUUUUUAAUGUAAGCUAUAAAAGCAUGGGGAGUGUUAUCAAGAAUAAUUGGGUGUUCCAGCAAUUUUUAAAAAAAAAAGAUGACCAGGCAAGUUUGGCCAAAAAAAAUAAAAGAUGCCUCUAUUGCGUGAGCAGUGUCAUUGCAACCAUUUUUAUGCAUAUAUGAGUGCAGGAAAGGUGUGGCGUAUCACUCUACACCCAUUCCGGGUGUUGAGUCAAAUACUGUAAGUCUGACUCAUGUUCAUAAAGAUGUCUGACAAAUCAUAGGAAAAACCUGAUCCCUUGACCCCUUUGGUGAGAGGAUCUGGUGGUUGCAUGGCAACAUUUUUUGGGUCCACGUGUUCUCAUAUAGGGCAGAGUCAGUGCAAAUCAUUAUAAGAUUAUGGGGAGCCAUCUUAACCCUUUAUUAUGAUGAAAUGCUUCUGUUGGGAGUGGCCUCUUCCAAGAUGGCACCUCGAGCCACAA